This 147-nucleotide ribosomal RNA is filed under the name uncultured Bacteroides sp. RNAcentral describes it as "partial 16S ribosomal RNA". It matches the Rfam family "Bacterial small subunit ribosomal RNA", at positions 338 to 485 of the family's 1533-position model. Lineage: Bacteria; Pseudomonadati; Bacteroidota; Bacteroidia; Bacteroidales; Bacteroidaceae. The record is from RNAcentral.
UUUACGGGAGGCAGCAGUGAGGAAUAUUGGUCAAUGGGCGCUAGCCUGAACCAGCCAAGUAGCGUGAAGGAUGACUGCCCUAUGGGUUGUAAACUUCUUUUAUAUGGGAAUAAAGUGCAGUAUGUAUACUGCUUGCAUUCCAAGAAA